This 743-nucleotide unclassified non-coding RNA is filed under the name Hevea brasiliensis (rubber tree). Lineage: Eukaryota; Viridiplantae; Streptophyta; Magnoliopsida; Malpighiales; Euphorbiaceae. The record is from RNAcentral.
CCAUCUGAGAAACUUCCUUCUUCCUAUAGCCUUGGCCGAGGAUUCACUCUCUGACAUCAAUUAUACAAAAAAGUGAAAAUUAUAAGAGAGCGAAAGAAGAGAAAAAGUUAGAGAGUAGAGAAUCAAGAAGAAAGAUUCAUCAACUGAUCAAGAUUAGAACAGUUUAGAUACAUCAACUUCUAGUUCUACUUCAUGACGGCUCAAAUUGGCAGCAAGUCCUGAACCAUAAUACUCUGAUAAUUUCUGCAGCAAGAUAUGCUGCCCAUACUGCUAUUCUCAUGAAACCAAUCCACCCAUCCACCAUUGAAGUUCAAAAGCACAAAAAGUGGCGACUGCAAUUGAAUGGAUUUAAAUGUAAAAAUACAAUGCUCUUUCAUGUUCUGACAGAAGCUUGAUACAAUGCAAAAAAGGGUCAUUUCAUCACUCAGAUAUUUUGGGGUAUUAUGGGGAAGAGAGGAGAAUAUUCAUAUUCAGCUUGCAUCCUUCAGAAUUCAAACUUUUAAAGAACAAAAUCUACCAAUCCACAGUUAAAAAGCUGAGCUAAUAUAUGGAGCCAUUUCCUCAACAGAAAGUACAAAAAUUUGCAAAAAGAUGGGGCAUCACAAAGAAGUCUAAUGCUCAAUCAAGAUACUACCUCCUGGAUCAGAAGGUCUGUUGUUAUUGCCAGGUGGGUUGGGAGGCAAAGGAUUAGGCCCUGGCUUUUGGGACUUGGACUCUAGUGUAAGCAUCUUCAAAGAUAUUUU